RNAcentral lists this ribosomal RNA (1326 nucleotides) under uncultured Alphaproteobacteria bacterium. Its description in RNAcentral is "bacterial SSU rRNA". It matches the Rfam family "Bacterial small subunit ribosomal RNA", at positions 27 to 1400 of the family's 1533-position model. Lineage: Bacteria; Pseudomonadati; Pseudomonadota; Alphaproteobacteria. The record is from RNAcentral.
GAACGUACGCUGGCGGCACGCCUAACACAUGCAUGUCGAACGAAGUAGCAAUACUUAGUGGCAGACGGGUGAGUAACAUGUAGGUAUCUGCCCUUUGGCCUGGAAUAACACGAGGAAACUUGUGCUAAUACCGGAUAAGUCUUUACAGAGAAAGCUUUAUGCACCAUUGGAUGAGCCUGCACUUGAUUAGUUUGUUGGUGGGGUAAUGGCCUACCAAGACUGUGAUCAAUAGCUGAUUUGAGAGGAUGAUCAGCCACAUUGGGACUGAGACACGGCCCAAACUCCUACGGGAGGCAGCAGUGGGGAAUCUUGCACAAUGGAGGAAACUCUGAUGCAGCGAUGCCGCGUGAGUGAAGAAGGCCUUUGGGUUGUAAAGCUCUUUCGUCGGGGAAGAAAAUGACUGUACCCGAAUAAGAAGGUCCGGCUAACUUCGUGCCAGCAGCCGCGGUAAUACGAAGGGACCUAGCGUAGUUCGGAAUUACUGGGCUUAAAGAGUUCGUAGGUGGUUGAAAAAGUUAGUGGUGAAAUCCCAGAGCUUAACUCUGGAACUGCCAUUAAAACUUUUCAGCUAGAGUAUGAUAGAGGAAAGCAGAAUUUCUAGUGUAGAGGUGAAAUUCGUAGAUAUUAGAAAGAAUACCGAUUGCGAAGGCAGCUUUCUGGAUCAUUACUGACACUGAGGAACGAAAGCAUGGGUAGCGAAGAGGAUUAGAUACCCUCGUAGUCCAUGCCGUAAACGAUGUGUGUUAGACGUUGGAAAUUUAUUUUCAGUGUCGCAGGGAAACCGAUAAACACACCGCCUGGGGAGUACGACCGCAAGGUUAAAACUCAAAUGAAUUGACGGGGACCCGCACAAGUAGUGGAGCAUGUGGUUUAAUUCGAAGAUACGCGCAGAACCUUACCAACACUUGACAUGUUCGUCGCGACUCUAAGAGAUUAGAGUUUUCGGUUCGGCCGGACGAAACACAGGUGCUGCAUGGCUGUCGUCAGCUCGUGUCGUGAGAUGUUGGGUUAAGUCCCGCAACGAGCGCAACCCUCACUUUUAGUUGCCAUCAUUAAGUUGGGCACUCUGAAAGAACUGCCAGUGAUAAGCUGGAGGAAGGUGGGGAUGACGUCAAGUCCUCAUGGCCCUUACGUGUUGGGCUACACACGUGCUACAAUGGUAUCUACAACAGGAAGCAAAACUGCGAAGUUAAGCAAAUCCCUAAAAGAUACCUCAGUUCGGAUUGCACUCUGCAACUCGAGUGCAUGAAGCUGGAAUUACUAGUAAUCGUGGAUCAGCGUGCCACGGUGAAUGCGUUCCCGGGUCUUGCACUCACCGCCCGUCAA